GUGCUCACUUUGGCAGCACAUAUAUUAAAAGUAGAAAGAUACAGAGAAGAUUAACAUGGCCCCUGCAUAAGAAUCAUACGCAAAUUCAUGAAGCAUUCCUUAUUUUU
Sciurus carolinensis (gray squirrel) is the source of this 107-nucleotide small nuclear RNA. NCBI's taxonomy places the organism in Eukaryota, Metazoa, Chordata, Mammalia, Rodentia, Sciuridae. The record is from RefSeq and is a predicted model, not a curated record.